GGCAUGGAUGACAGCAUGGAGGAUGAUCACUGGCAUGGAUGAGAGUUUACAGCGGUUUUAUAUUUGUUUGAAAGGUUCCGCAGUCAGAGAGUGGACUGAACUCAGCACCCUCCGCUGCACCAUGCUUGAGGCAUGUGGCGCUUUAUCUACCAAGACCACACUCAGAUCAGGAGUCUGUCUCCCUGUGUCCCAUCUCAGAGAGCCGCUGGUGUGUGUUGAAUCAGACACAGCUCAGCUUAACGGCUUACAGGUCACGACGCACAGCUGAUCUAAUGAGGAGCCUGGCUGAAGGCCCCAACAGCUCCAGGGUCAACAGGUGCUCCACCUGCAGAGACCAUGGAGCCACAGGUCUGGUACGUUCUUAUUACUUCCUGUUUACUGUAAAAAAGAAAAGAAAAACGUGGAACAGAUGAGGAUAGAGAAUUGAUAGUGUGCAUUUACAGUUUGAAUUGUGUCAUGGUUUUAGCUUUCUGGACUGUUCCAUUUGUUAUUUUUGCAAAUGUGAACCUUUUUUUCCCGAAAAUGUUUUCAACCUUUAGAAACUUUGGUUCAAAGUUAUUUUUCGAAAAUAAUUUGCCAACCUUUCUAAACUUCUUUUUACAACUUUUUCAACCUUUUUUCAACUUAAAAAAGAGCGUAAAACAGAGUAGAGUAAAGCAGAGAUAAAUAGUGUUACACAAUAGUGUAGUACAAUACAGUACAGUAGAGUAUAAUAGAGUCCUCAAGUUCACAGCUGAAACAAACGACAACAAACAAGGAAACUGGAAACCUGACGCAGACACUAACCAGUCACAGGUGCAGCUGAUGACAUCACAGGUGCAGCUGAUGACAUCACAGGGAAACACCGGGGCAGGGAAAACCCAGAUCUGGCAAGGGGAACGGCCAUGUGCGUGACACCAAGUGAUGAAGUGAAGACGGGCGAGGAGGAAGAGGACGAUGAGCAAGAGACAGAAAAAAGGAGAGGAAAAACAGAAACAGAAGCAAAAAUAAACUUUGUAUGGAAGUUUGUAAAUAAACCCUAAAAUAAAAACUCAUCUGAUGACCCUCUAGACAUUGUCCCCCGCCAAGUGGCUGGGAGGAUAUUUUAAUCCUGAGAAACAUGAUGAGAGUAGAAGAGAGGAGAGGAGGGGAAAGGAGAGGGGGAAAGAGGAGAGGAUUGGAGUGGAGAGUUUAGAACAUCGCAGAACAUCUCAAAACACCUCUGGAGAACAUCUCUCUGCAGUUCGUCUUCCAGAGGCCCUGUCUGGGGUCUCCGCGGAGGGGCUCAAUCACCACUUCACAAGACACGUGUUCCAUUCACGGUGGCGGUCUAUUAGAAGGCAGAAACUGGAUCGCUGCUCAGGGAGAUAGGAGGAGAAAUAACUCAUUUCAAGGAACAUUGGCUUCUGUAGAGCGCUGGACGAAGGGGAUAAAUAAAAUGAUAUUGACUUUCAUUAAUAAGAUGUUUCAAAUGAAUUUUGGGGAUAGAAAGCACAAAUCACUAACCCAACAUCCCAGAACAUUUAGAGUUGUCUACAAAUGUUUUAUUGGUUUUCUUUAAGCUAAACUUUACCUUUCAGUGGUGCACACACACACAGAGACACAAAAACACAGGUCUUAUUUCAACAAUUGGG
Osmerus eperlanus (European smelt) is the source of this 1613-nucleotide long non-coding RNA. RefSeq lists it as uncharacterized. The record is from RefSeq and is a predicted model, not a curated record. Lineage: Eukaryota; Metazoa; Chordata; Actinopteri; Osmeriformes; Osmeridae. The transcript has 3 exons.